GGAGGAGUGGGUGAGUGGUUGAAACCGGCGGUCUUGAAAACCGUUAGGCCCGUGAGGGUCUCGGGGGUUCGAAUCCCUCCUCCUCCGCCA
RNAcentral lists this transfer RNA (90 nucleotides) under Acidobacteriota bacterium. Its description in RNAcentral is "tRNA-Ser". It matches the Rfam family "tRNA". From Rfam's summary of the family: Transfer RNA (tRNA) molecules are approximately 80 nucleotides in length. Their secondary structure includes four short double-helical elements and three loops (D, anti-codon, and T loops). RNAcentral also lists the same sequence under 3 other names. The record is from RNAcentral. Lineage: Bacteria; Pseudomonadati; Acidobacteriota.